AUCAGAAUACUAAUUUAUUUCAAUUAAUUUCAGAUAAUUAACUAUUCCAUCCUAAUUAACUCUCCAAAUUAACUCUUCCAUCCUAAUUAACUCUCCCAAUUAACUCUUCCACUAUAAUUAACUCUCUCAAUUAACUCUCCCAAUUAACUCUCCCAAUUGACCCUCGUACAGCACCCCUCCUCGUCCCCUUCCUCCGACACCGACAGCACCCAUCUCGACCACCAUCGCCACUCCAAACCUCGAGGGUGGCGACCCAUGAGGCAAUAUUGGCGAUCAGAGCUGAUGUUUUCGACAGAGGUAGAGACGAAGAACGGGUUUCUCAGUAACGAAGAAGGCAUCCACGGCGAUGGUGUCGAGGUGGAAGGCACGAUGAUGCUACUGGUGGUGAGGGAGAUGAUGUCGACCCGCCGACCACAGCGAUGUCGAAUGUGACGAGAAGGAGGAGGAGGACGACGACGAGAUCUGCACGAAUCGUUGCGGCCCUCUUGCUCCCAGCGCCGGCCAAGGCGGCGGAGGAGGAGGAGGACGACGACGAGAUCUGCACGAAUCGUUGCGGCCCUCUUGCUCCCAGCGCCGGCCAAGGCGGCGGAGGAGGAGGAGGACGACGACGAGAGUGGCGACUCGCGGGCCAUUUUUUUUGUGCGAAUGAGGCGAGGCUUCUUGGGGGCGAAGGUGGAGGCGGAGGAGCCGGCGCCGAGGUUGGCGGUGGUGGUGAGCUGCUGGAGCUCGCGGCGGGCGGCGGCGGGCUGCGGGGACCCAAGUUGGGAGAGAGAGGAUAAGUUGGGGAGAGAAAGAGAAGAUAAUUUAAGGAAAUAGUUUAAUAAGGUAGAGGCAAAAUAUGUAUUUUAAUUAGGUUUUAAUUCUGGUAUAUAUUUAAUCCAUGUUUAACUCCAGUUAAACUAACAGGGAAUAAAUGUGGGGGUAUUUUGGAAUAACGGUGAAACAUAUGAGGGGCAUUUUAGAAAGAAAAAAAAAGUAGGGGUAGAUCGGAUAUUUCCAGACGCAUGAGGGGUCUAUAGGCAAUUAUCCCUAAUAAAUAAUAAUAAUAAUAAUAAUAAUAAUAAUAAUAAUAAUAUACAUUUGGU
Molecule: long non-coding RNA, 1085 nt
Filed under: Ananas comosus (pineapple)
Lineage: Eukaryota; Viridiplantae; Streptophyta; Magnoliopsida; Poales; Bromeliaceae
Description: long non-coding RNA (ACOM_LNC025500)
Source: RNAcentral